This 896-nucleotide ribosomal RNA is filed under the name uncultured archaeon. Its description in RNAcentral is "bacterial SSU rRNA". It matches the Rfam family "Archaeal small subunit ribosomal RNA", at positions 21 to 923 of the family's 1478-position model. The record is from RNAcentral.
ACCUGACUGCUAUCGGAUUNGUACUAAGCCCAUGUGAGUCAUUGUAGCAAUACAAGGCAUACGGCUCAGUAACACGUAGUCAAUCUGCCCUAUGGACGUGGAUAACCUCGGGAAACUGAGAAUAAUCCGCGAUAGAUCAUAAUGCCUGGAACGGUUUAUGGUCCAAAUGAUUCGUCGCCAUAGGAUGGGACUGCGGCCUAUCAGCUUGUUGGUGAGGUAAUGGCCCACCAAGGCUAUUACAGGUACGGGCUCUGAGAGGAGAAGCCCGGAGAUGGGUACUGAGACACGGACCCAGGCCCUAUGGGGCGCAGCAGGCGAGAAACCUUUGCAAUGUGCGCAAGCACGACAAGGUUAAUCCGAGUGUUUCCUGCUAAAGGAAUCUUUUGUUAGUUCUAAAACCACUGAUGAAUAAGGGGUGGGCAAGUUCUGGUGUCAGCCGCCGCGGUAAAACCAGCACCUCAAGUGGUCAGGAGGAUUGUUGGGCCUAAAGCAUCCGUAGCCGGUUCUGUAAGUUUCCGGUUAAAUCCACUAGCUCAACUAAUGGGCUGCCGGAAAUACUGCAGAACUAGGGAGUGGGAGAGGUAGACGGUACUCGGGAGGAAGGGGUAAAAUCCUUUGAUCUCUUGAUGACCACCUGUGGCGAAGGCGGUCUACCAGAACACGUUCGACGGUGAGGGAUGAAAGCUGGGGGAGCAAACCGGAUUAGAUACCCGGGUAGUCCCAGCUGUAAACGAUGCAGACUCGGUGAUGCACUGGCUUUUGGCCAGUGCAGUGCCGCAGGGAAGCCGUUAAGUUUGCCGCCUGGGAAGUACGUACGCAAGUAUGAAACUUAAAGGAAUUGGCGGGGGAGCACCACAAGGGGUGAAGCCUGCGGUUCAAUGGAGUCAACGCCGAAA